This 253-nucleotide ribosomal RNA is filed under the name uncultured bacterium. RNAcentral's name for it is "partial 16S ribosomal RNA". It matches the Rfam family "Bacterial small subunit ribosomal RNA", at positions 524 to 776 of the family's 1533-position model. The record is from RNAcentral.
UACGGAGGGAGCUAGCGUUGUCCGGAUUUAUUGGGCGUAAAGAGCGUGUAGGCGGCCUGAAAGGUCAGCUGUGAAAACUCGAGGCUCAACCUCGAGACGUCGGUUGAAACCAUCUGGCUAGAGUCCGGAAGAGGAGAGUGGAAUUCCCGGUGUAGCGGUGAAAUGCGCAGAUAUCGGGAGGAACACCAAUGGCGAAGGCAGCUCGGUGGGACGGUACUGACGCUGAGACGCGAAAGCGUGGGGAGCAAACAGG